This 253-nucleotide ribosomal RNA is filed under the name uncultured bacterium. RNAcentral describes it as "partial 16S ribosomal RNA". It matches the Rfam family "Bacterial small subunit ribosomal RNA", at positions 524 to 776 of the family's 1533-position model. The record is from RNAcentral.
UACGUAGGAUGCGAGCGUUGUCCGGAAUUAUUGGGCGUAAAGAGAACGUAGGCGGUUUCUUAAGUUUGGGCUUAAAGACCGGGGCUCAACCCCGGGAGUGGCUCGAAAACUGGGAGACUGGAGGAUGUCAGAGGAAAGUGGAAUUCCGAGUGUAGCGGUGAAAUGCGUAGAUAUUCGGAGGAACACCAGUGGCGAAAGCGACUUUCUGGGACAUUUCUGACGCUGAGGUUCGAAAGCUCGGGGAGCAAACAGG